CGACUUGAAAAUCUCAUUUA
RNAcentral lists this small nuclear RNA (20 nucleotides) under Arabidopsis thaliana (thale cress). RNAcentral's name for it is "snRNA_04146". Lineage: Eukaryota; Viridiplantae; Streptophyta; Magnoliopsida; Brassicales; Brassicaceae. The record is from RNAcentral.